CACAGUCAUGGUCUCAUGGAUGACUGAAGUCAGGGAUCUUUAAACUAAUCGUAUAGUGUGUUUCAUCGACAUUACAACAACAUUUAGUAGGAUAGGCGUGGUAUGGUAUGCAGCAGUGGUGUCUUGCGUUAACCAUUUUAUCUAAAAAGGAAAUCACUUUUGAUUAUUUCACCAAGAAUAAGAGGAAGUUAUUCCAUGCUGGGAAAACAGACAUGCAUUUUCUCCCCCAAAUGUUCCAGCUAUCUGCAUAGCGAAAAUCGUACACUUUUCAAUAUCCUUGCUUCCCUACUCAAUGUCCCGCCACAGUAAAGGAGCUUCAUCGAUUCACUUGUUCUACUCUCCAGUGAAGAAGAAGCUUCUGUAUGGUGGUGAGGGAUGGGGAGGAGUUCACCCCAGCAACCACAGGCCUCGCUCUGGAUAUGUGAGAGAAGAUAGAUUGGCCUGAAAGCCUGCUUCCUGGGGCCUACAUUUUACUGACAUAGAAGUCUCUGACAGCUAAAGGCUGGAACCUUCUCAGUUGCCGCAGCGACCCAGGCCUGACAGUCUAUAAAUGUGAGGUUAUGGUGGAUCCAUGAGUGUCUCCUUUCAGCCCAACACUGAGUCUGUGUCCUAAUGGGUCAUGGUCAAAUGUAGUGCACUAAAUAGGGAAUAGGGUGUCAUUUGGGAUGCAAAGCUGAUUCUCUGCAACCAGUGCUCACAAGACAAUACAAAAUCAAUCUCCUUUGUUGCACUCGGUUUCUGAUUCAACAAGGCACAAUUUUCCAAAUUUCUUCUAAAGAGAGGGAGGGUUGGAAAAGUGCAGUCACUGUGACGUGUGGCCUGCAGAGGCAUGUACUCUAUGUACUGUAGAUAGUCAAACUAUUCCCUGGCUCACCGCCACAUCACAGAGACCCCCCACAGUUUGACAAAAGAGGACACUCAGAGGAUGCGUCCCAAAUGGCACCCUAUUCCCUAUACAAUGCUCUACUUUUGACCAGGGCCCGUAGAGUGAACUAUGUAGGGAAUAGGGUGCCAUUGGGGACACAACAAGCAUAUCUCUCCAGGAAUAGCUGGCCAAUUCAAUAGGACAGGGCCUCUUAAGACAGAAUCCAAUUCAAAUAGCGGCUACCUCGUAUAAGAUAGAGAGAAUACCGAGAUGUUAAGCCUACUCAUUCAUCAUAAUGUAGCAAACAUUUACAGAGUGAAAAUGUUAAUAUGACAUCUUUAUAACUACAUGUAAACCUUAACAUAGUUCACAUUGUUUGUUUGGACUGACACACACACACACACACACACACACACACACACACACACACACACACACACACACACACACGUUGAUUAUGUUUGAAUGAGGGACAACUUAUUUUUCGGUCCUUUAUGUCGGUUGGACAAUCAGAACCCAUUGGCUUGCAUAAUGCAGUUCAACCUUUACGUUGUAUAAUGCACAGUUAUUUGCCUUUCUGCAAAAGUUAAACACGGGUUCUGCUUCAGUGAAGCCAUGGUCAAGGUUAGCUAGGCUACACUAACCAGCUUUGUCUGUCCAUGACUAUUGUGUAGGGGCUUGUCCACCCAUUUGCGUCAGAUCCUCACAGAUCCUCACUCACAGCUUUGAGUUUUGUGAUGUAAGUACCCAUAUUGAAAUAUAAUUAUUAUACCAUGUCAGUCAUAUUGUGUGUACCCAUUAGUGUUCCGGUCGAAUUGCUGUGGUCUAAGGGUCAUUGUCCCUUCUGGUAAUCCUAUUUCUAUGCAUACCACUUCCCCUGGUGUGUAUAAUAUGUAUAGUGUGAUAUACCACUAGAUAGCUUCUGUGUAUGUUUAAGGGGGCAAGCCAAGCCUUAAUGGUUCAGAAAACCGCCCUCUUAACCACAGUUCCAGACCAGAACUACUGUGUAUAGCCUAGUCAGACAAAAUGAUUCCCCUUUUAUCAUCUCCACUUCACCCAGCUGUUACGUAACAUUCAAUCUAAUCAAAGCUGUCACUGAAACGUUCACGAGAGUAGAGGGAGAGGGGAAAACUGUGGAAACACGAUAUAGAUCAGUUGAUGUGGAUCCCAGGCACCGCAUGGAAACAUUGACAGAGAAAAUAUAUCUAAACAUUUGCCCUUGGUUGGAUGGGAGACUUUCAUGAUAAACAAACCUAGAACGUAAGUGCCUGUUGGGGAACAUUUAGCUAAUCUCCAUGCUGGAUAACAGGCGCAGAGAUGACGAUGAUGAUGGUCUUGGGUGAGGCUGGAGAUGUGGGUUGGCGGUAGUCAACUUGAUUUGCCAAUUGUGUUUAGUAUGAGUACUAUGAGAAAAGAUCAUUCAUGCAUGAAAUAAUCGUCUGACUUGUCAUAUUGGGCACUUCAAAGGAGGUACCUAAAAGACCAUGUGACAAUGACCCUGUUCGUUAUCAGGUUUGACAAUAGAUUUUAAGAGCAAAUCCUUAUUUUAUUGCCAUUGGAUUAUACUUCAUGGUCAUUUAAUGCCAUUCUGUAAAAACAUGUUUGGUAUUAUACAAGCAAGCAAAGAACAAUCGGUACCAAGGGUCUGUUCUGAUUUUAAUUAUGAUAGGUCUACAGAUUUCAUCCAUUUUCCUUAUUGCCAUUGGAAGUGAACCAUUUGUCUUCAGGGCACCGCGGGGAACCUGGCAAGGAGCUUCGGCAGAUUUCUUUUUCUUUUUUCACACUGACAAUAGAAUUUUGAAUAGUUGGAUUUUUGGUUUCAAAUGAAUAUGCAAACUUAAACUCUCCUUCUCACAGUGGGCCAGAAAGCUGUGUGUGUGUGUGUGUGUGUGUGUGUGUGUGUGUGUGUGUGUGACUGUGUUUGUUUGCGCUUGUGUGACUGUUUGCAUGCAUGUGUUUGUUACAGCUAUCGUUUUAUAAGAGAUCACUUGAGAACAUGAGUGAUGAGGCUGCGAGACUCACACCAUAGGGUGAGUUUCUUUGGAUUAUUCAGUAAACAUAUUGGUCUAGUCACAGUGUUCGUGCAAUGCUCCCCCAAUGUAGUAUAAUAUUAGAUUGUGCUUUUAGACUCCAGAGUAGGCCAUAAACAUCAGAAUGUACCACUCCUUUGGAGACAGCAAAUCUAGACCAAAAUAUUUGGCUCUCAUUGGUUGGUGGUUGUAUGCAUUUGGUUUUGUAACUUCAACAAGGGACCAAUGCUAAGACCAGGGUCAUGUGAAGUUGGCUGAAACUGGGAGGGACGACCUAGACUGAAGAGUGUCUGCUAAAUCAAUUACCUGCCCUGCACAGAAUACCAUUGUUCCCCGGUCAACCGGUGCUCCCCUCCUUGACUCACCAUAUGGCUUUGGCUAAAGAUGGCGUCAUCAGGAUCAGGGCAUGGACGCCUUGCAGACAGUGUUUUCUCUCUUCACACCUGUGUUAAUUUAUGGUGUAGCCUCUCAUUUGAUCAACACAGAGAGACAAAGGCCUCAAACAAAGCUCUCAGGUACAGAGGCGAUGACUGUGUUUGCUGUUGCAGCUCUGGGCCAUUGUUUAAAGAAAAUGGAUUACCUAUGUUCCAUUCAUGAACACAUUCUGGCCCUUCUUAAAUGGGGACGUGCUGGCUAUAUGGCUCUGAGUUAUAAACGAUUUAGCCAAUGAAAACGCUCAAAUCAAAAGAAACUACUGGGCCUUAGCCUCAAUGACCUCACUGUUACGGUCUGGAGAAAAUGUGUUUGCAUUCAUGUUCAUGUUAAUGCUGAUGACACUAAUGUUAAAUGUUGACACCAACGCUGAGAAAUAGAAUGCAUUGCUAUGUAGUUCUAUUGUAUUGUACAGUUGUCAUAAACAUGCGUGAGCACCUUAUAAAGGCUUAUCAUCUCACAACGAUUCAAACUAUUAACAACCAUUGUGUCAUUGAGGCAAUCUCCUACAAAGAGAAACAUAACGUUUAAUUAGGCUUAUAAGAUAUAAAAGCACGUAC
Long non-coding RNA from Oncorhynchus kisutch (coho salmon), 3887 nucleotides. RefSeq lists it as uncharacterized. The record is from RefSeq and is a predicted model, not a curated record. NCBI's taxonomy places the organism in Eukaryota, Metazoa, Chordata, Actinopteri, Salmoniformes, Salmonidae. The transcript is spliced from 3 exons.